UUAAAUAGCUUAAAUUUAAAGCCUAAUAUUGAAAAUAUUAAAAUGAUUUUAAAUCUUUAAAUA
RNAcentral lists this transfer RNA (63 nucleotides) under Binodoxys communis. Its description in RNAcentral is "tRNA-Phe". Lineage: Eukaryota; Metazoa; Arthropoda; Insecta; Hymenoptera; Braconidae. The record is from RNAcentral.